Molecule: ribosomal RNA, 867 nt
Filed under: Triticum aestivum (bread wheat)
Lineage: Eukaryota; Viridiplantae; Streptophyta; Magnoliopsida; Poales; Poaceae
Description: partial small subunit ribosomal RNA
Source: RNAcentral
AUGAUCGAUUCACAUCUGAUAAGAGAGGGCAGAGGCAAGGAGGAGGAGGAAGAAGAAGAAGAAGAAGCAGAGGGUUUUGCUACGACUACGAUGGAAGAGGAGAAGGCCUUUCCCAGUGACUCGUCAGGUUUCGAGUUCUUCAUCAUCAUGCUCUCAAAUUCCUUGAAGAAACUGAGGAUGCCAGACAAGUUCGCCAAGGUGCUCGCCGGCCGCGAGCCCCGGGAAGUGAAGCUGCGGGAGGCCGGCAGCGGGCGCCGCAGCCUGUGGGACGUGAAGGUGGUGCUGGACGCCGACGGCCACACAUACCUAGGGCGCGGCUGGGAGCGGUUCGCCCGCGCGCACGACCUGCGGCUCGGCUACUUCCUCGUCUUCAGCUACGACGGCGACGCCGUGCUCACCGUGAAGGUGUUCGACGUGAGCAUGUGCCGCAGGCACUACAAGCACCACGACGACGAUGAUGCCAGCAGUGGGAGCAGCAGCGACAGUGGCGGCAGCAGCUCGGCGGAGGUGGAGGUCGACGACGCUCCGACGUCGCAGUUCACGGUCAGGCUGAGCGGCUGCCACUUCCUCGAGAAGCAGCAGCAGUAUCUGAACGUGCCGCUGGAGUUCCAUGAGGCGCACGGGUACGCGGAGAGGAGCAAGGUGGUGCUGCGGAUGAGCGGCAAGUCGUGGGGCGUGACCCUGAAGCACACCAACCGGGCGGGCGGCAAGACCCGGUCGUCCUUCAGGUACGGGUGGCACCAGUUCCUGGUGGACAACCGCCUCACCGUCGGCGACACCUGCUUCUUCCGCGCGCUCCGCGCUGGCGGCGAGGACCACGAGCUCAAGGUGCAGGUCCGCAAGCUGGACGGCACCUUCGUGGAAUGA